Molecule: ribosomal RNA, 253 nt
Filed under: uncultured bacterium
Lineage: Bacteria
Description: partial 16S ribosomal RNA
Rfam family: Bacterial small subunit ribosomal RNA
Source: RNAcentral
UACGGAGGGAGCUAGCGUUAUUCGGAAUUACUGGGCGUAAAGCGCACGUAGGCGGCUUUGUAAGUAAGAGGUGAAAGCCCAGAGCUCAACUCUGGAAUUGCCUUUUAGACUGCAUCGCUUGAAUCAUGGAGAGGUCAGUGGAAUUCCGAGUGUAGAGGUGAAAUUCGUAGAUAUUCGGAAGAACACCAGUGGCGAAGGCGGCUGACUGGACAUGUAUUGACGCGAGGCUGCGAAAGCGUGGGGAGCAAACAGG